UGGGGAAUCUUGGACAAUGGGCGCAAGCCUGAUCCAGCCAUGCCGCGUGAGCGAUGAAGGCCUUAGGGUUGUAAAGCUCUUUCACCGGUGAAGAUAAUGACGGUAGCCGGAGAAGAAGUCCCGGCUAACUCCGUGCCAGCAGCCGCGGUAAUACGGAGGGGACUAGCGUUGUUCGGAAUUACUGGGCGUAAAGAGUUCGUAGGCGGACUAGCAAGUUAGAGGUGAAAUCCCAGGGCUCAACCUUGGAACUGCCUUUAAAACUGCUAGUCUAGAGACCGGAAGAGGUUAGGGGAAUACCUAGUGUAGAGGUGAAAAUUCGUAGAUAUUAGGUGGAACACCAGUGGCGAAGGCGCCUAACUGGUCCGGUACUGACGCUGAGGAACGAAAAGCGUGGGGAGCAAACAGGAUUAGAUACCCUGGUAGUCCACGCCGUAAACGAUGAGUGCUAGAUGUUGGGAUUUUCGGAUUUCAGUGUCGCAGCUAACGCAUUAAGCACUCCGCCUGGGGAGUACGGCCGC
Molecule: ribosomal RNA, 518 nt
Filed under: uncultured bacterium
Lineage: Bacteria
Description: bacterial SSU rRNA
Rfam family: Bacterial small subunit ribosomal RNA
Source: RNAcentral